GCUAUCGGGCCCAUACCCCGAAAAUGUUGGUUUAAACCCUUCCCGUACUA
Molecule: transfer RNA, 50 nt
Filed under: Myodes glareolus (Bank vole)
Lineage: Eukaryota; Metazoa; Chordata; Mammalia; Rodentia; Cricetidae
Description: partial tRNA-Met
Source: RNAcentral